Molecule: long non-coding RNA, 1243 nt
Organism: Carassius auratus (goldfish)
Lineage: Eukaryota; Metazoa; Chordata; Actinopteri; Cypriniformes; Cyprinidae
Exons: 4
Source: RefSeq, a predicted model, not a curated record
UCCGAUUCUUUCAUGGCACGCACACAUACAAGUCUCAACAUAUAGACUAGAUCGAGUAGAUCGCUCCUGCCAUAAAUUGGCAAAAUAAACUUCAGCCUGAGCUGUUUUCUACCUGCUCCAUCUCUCCCUUGUGUGGGAGUUUGCUGACCCAUUGUCACACUCACGGUUGUGUAUUUGAGUGAACGUGUAUACAUAUCCAGAUGUGUAAUGCUGUGCACUUUGCCUGGUUGUGCAACCAGUGUGAAUCAUUGGGCAACAGGUCAUAAAAAUAGUUAUUCAAAGGAGCACUACAUAAGACACUGGACUUUGGAGAACUCCACAAGAAAGAUUGCGCAGCUGUAUCUGCGGUAAUGUGCGUCAGUUUCAUUACCGGGAGAAAUGAAUGCAGCGCAACUGAAACAGAGAAUGGGAAGACAAGAGAGAGAGAGAGAGAGUGAUGUGAUCGCUCAUUUGAAGAGGGGAAACGACAAUGAACACUUGUCUGUUCUCUUUUUUUCUCUCUUUAUAGCUCUGAUUGUCAACGUGACUGGACGGAUUGAGAGGCAGAGAGAGAGAGAGAGAGAGGAAGACUGACAAAGAGGAGAGAGAGAUGGCGCUGUAUUGGUGGUCCAAUUGGUGCUUUCUGGGUCACAGGCGAUUGGAGCAUUGGAGGGAUGCUUGUAUGUCUUUGAAUGCAGUAUGACCAGUGAAAGAGGCUGUCAGGGCGAACGAGCACUGCCUAGGGCACAUUAUCCAACUUAAGAGCUGCAGAGAAAUGUUCGACUCCUGGUUUUCUUAUUGGAAAUGGUAAGUAUAAAUAAUAUCUCAUAUCAUGUAUCAUGUCAUAUAUCAUAAUAUCAUAUCUCAUAUCAUAUCAUGUAUCAGAUCAUGUAUCGUAUAUCAUAUCUCAUAUCAUACCAUAACAUACCCUUUAAGGAAAAAAAGUGGAAAAUGUCUGAAGAUUUCUGGGCUAAUAAUUUUUAUUCUCUUGUUCAGAAAAAAAAUCUUUAAAAUUAACUGUCACUUUGUGUGAAAAUCAUGGCUACAUUUCUCUCCUCUUAUCCAUGCUGAGUGACUUAGGCCAUUAAAUCAGGCACCUCCUGUGGAUUCCAGGGUGUGAGAAACUGAUAAUAAGGUGUAAUAAUACACCGUCAGUCAAAUGUGCGUGGGAUUCUUAGCAUUCAGAUGAGACCUUAUGCAAGCCACUAGAAGAAAGUAAAAGAAUGACAGUAGUGCACAGCAUUUUGCUACAGGCCGGAUACAA